GACGAACGCUGGCGGCGUGCCUAAUACAUGCAAGUAGAACGCUGAAGGAGGAGCUUGCUUCUCCGGAUGAGUUGCGAACGGGUGAGUAACGCGUAGGUAACCUGCCUGGUAGCGGGGGAUAACUAUUGGAAACGAUAGCUAAUACCGCAUAACAGUAGAUAUUGCAUGAUAUCUGCUUGAAAGUUGCAAUUGCAUCACUACCAGAUGGACCUGCGUUGUAUUAGCUAGUUGGUGGGGUAACGGCUCACCAAGGCGACGAUACAUAGCCGACCUGAGAGGGUGAUCGGCCAAAAUGGGAAUGAGACAAGGCCCAGACUCCCAAGGGAGGCAGCAGUAGGGAAUCUUCGGACAUGGACGGAAGUCUGACCGAGCAACGACGGGUGAGUGAAGAAGGUUUUCGGAUCGUAAAGCUCUGUUGUAAGAGAAGAAAGAGUGUGAGAGUGGAAAGUUCACACUGUGACGGUAUCUUAACAGAAAGGGACGGCUAACUACGUG
This 495-nucleotide ribosomal RNA is filed under the name uncultured bacterium. Its description in RNAcentral is "partial 16S ribosomal RNA". It matches the Rfam family "Bacterial small subunit ribosomal RNA", at positions 28 to 507 of the family's 1533-position model. The record is from RNAcentral.